Molecule: non-coding RNA, 85 nt
Organism: Tephrocybe sp. NHM501043
Lineage: Eukaryota; Fungi; Basidiomycota; Agaricomycetes; Agaricales; Lyophyllaceae
Source: the annotation of a GenBank genome assembly
GGGGUCUGGGCUUAGUGGUAGUGGACAUGCUUCACACUAUUAGUGGACUUGCAUGAGGUUGUGAGUUCAAUUCUCAAAGGCUCCA